CACAUGCAAGUCGAGGGGCAGCAUGACUGGUAGCAAUACUAGUUGAUGGCGACCGGCGCAAGGGUGCGUAACGCGUGAGCAACAUCGCCCUGUUCAGGAGGACUAACCGGAGAAAUUCGGACUAAUACUCCAUAGUAUUUUGAUGAGGCAUCUCGUUAAAAUUAAAGUUUCGAUGGAACAGGAUUGGCUCGCGUGACAUUAGCUAGAUGGUAGGGUAACGGCCUACCAUGGCGACGAUGUCGUAGGGGAACUGAGAGGUUGAUCCCCCACACUGGAACUGAGACACGGUCCAGACUCCUACGGGAGGCAGCAGUGAGGAAUAUUGGACAAUGGAUGGAAAUCUGAUCCAGCCAUGCCGCGUGAAGGUCACGGCCCUAUGGGUCUUAAACUUCUUUUGUAUGAGAGCAAUAAGUGUUACGAGUAACACGAUGAGAGUAUCAUACGAAUAAGCAUCGGCUAACUCCGUG
Molecule: ribosomal RNA, 467 nt
Filed under: uncultured bacterium
Lineage: Bacteria
Description: bacterial SSU rRNA
Rfam family: Bacterial small subunit ribosomal RNA
Source: RNAcentral